GGGAAAGUGAAAGGUGGGGCGUUGAAAUGAAAAGACAAAAGACUGUUCAACGGGAAAGAUGUAGUACUUAGUACUGCGCCGUUAGACGUUUUAGCCAUCGUGGAUUGAUGAAUAGCGUUUUUCUGAAAUCAACAGUCUUCAAAAUUCAAUCUGCUUGAAGUUAUUAUUGAAGAUAACGGCUAUGGAAGGUCAUGACAAGAAAAUGACUGGUGAGUUGAAUUUCAACUCUGUAAAUGAUUUAAGCGCUUUCGGGAGCAGAAGCUUUUCGGAUCGAGCUGAAGAUGAUAUGGACGUGUCUGCGGAAAUGGCAGUCUAUGACUUCAGCUUCUCGAAACAGGAAAAUAUUUUGCCAUUAAUGAACUUAUACAUGAGUGAACGAGAAUCUUACAAUCAAUUGUUGAACAAACAAAAGGAGAAUCCCAAUCACAACUUGCAUGUUGAGCUCCAAAGCAAGAAAAGACUUUUAGAGUUUGUUUCACAUGCUAUAACAAAAGCAGUAGCCAAAGACCCUUGCUUUGCAUGUCGAUCGAUUGAAGAAAAAGAACUUCAGAAGCAAGUUACGGCUUUCAUUCCUUAAAUCAAGAAGGAACCUGACAAACAUUCCCAUUUGUUUGAUAAUCAUUAUUCCCCUUAAAUUCAUUUUCUAAAAUAUCCAGAUGCUGUGCUUUCAAUAACUGUGUCACAUUUUUGCUCAAAGCUGAAUUAGUUUUGCGUGGAUUUUCUUUUCUGUUAAUGCAAUUUCACUUUCAAUUUCUUUUACUCUUUGUUGAACUGCAUAUUUUGUCUACUUUUAGACAGAAAUUACACAGGCCUACAUUUUUUUUCUUCAUGAAAAAAGUGUUUCAAAUUUAAUAAGUGCUGUAUAGUAAAUGGGGUGUGCUGAUCACAAAUCGGAGGUUAGUUUUUUUCCAGCAUGUCAGGUUUUCAAGAAAAGUGUUUUUUGAAAUUUUUCAUAGAAACUGCCAAAAAUACUGAGAGAAUAUUUAUUAGAAAAUUAAUACAAAAUUGAGCUGUGCAUAAAAAAAAUAAUGCAGU
Uloborus diversus is the source of this 1035-nucleotide long non-coding RNA. RefSeq lists it as uncharacterized. NCBI's taxonomy places the organism in Eukaryota, Metazoa, Arthropoda, Arachnida, Araneae, Uloboridae. The transcript has 3 exons. The record is from RefSeq and is a predicted model, not a curated record.